RNAcentral lists this ribosomal RNA (485 nucleotides) under Staphylococcus epidermidis NIHLM040. Its description in RNAcentral is "bacterial LSU rRNA". It matches the Rfam family "Bacterial large subunit ribosomal RNA", at positions 2438 to 2925 of the family's 2925-position model. Lineage: Bacteria; Bacillati; Bacillota; Bacilli; Caryophanales; Staphylococcaceae. The record is from RNAcentral.
AGGGCCAUCGCUCAACGGAUAAAAGCUACCCCGGGGAUAACAGGCUUAUCUCCCCCAAGAGUUCACAUCGACGGGGAGGUUUGGCACCUCGAUGUCGGCUCAUCGCAUCCUGGGGCUGUAGUCGGUCCCAAGGGUUGGGCUGUUCGCCCAUUAAAGCGGUACGCGAGCUGGGUUCAGAACGUCGUGAGACAGUUCGGUCCCUAUCCGUCGUGGGCGUAGGAAAUUUGAGAGGAGCUGUCCUUAGUACGAGAGGACCGGGAUGGACAUACCUCUGGUGUACCAGUUGUCGUGCCAACGGCAUAGCUGGGUAGCUAUGUAUGGACGGGAUAAGUGCUGAAAGCAUCUAAGCAUGAAGCCCCCCUCAAGAUGAGAUUUCCCAACUUCGGUUAUAAGAUCCCUCGAAGAUGACGAGGUUAAUAGGUUCGAGGUGGAAGCGUGGUGACACGUGGAGCUGACGAAUACUAAUCGAUUGAAGACUUAAUCAA